RNAcentral lists this ribosomal RNA (491 nucleotides) under uncultured bacterium. RNAcentral describes it as "partial 16S ribosomal RNA". It matches the Rfam family "Bacterial small subunit ribosomal RNA", at positions 29 to 507 of the family's 1533-position model. The record is from RNAcentral.
AGUGAACGCUGGCGGUAGGCCUACACAUGCAAGUCGAACGGCAGCACAGUAAGAGCUUGCUCUUACGGGUGGCGAGUGGCGGACGGGUGAGGAAUACAUCGGAAUCUACUUUUUCGUGGGGGAUAACGUAGGGAAACUUACGCUAAUACCGCAUACGACCUACGGGUGAAAGCAGGGGAUCUUCGGACCUUGCGCGAUUGAAUGAGCCGAUGUCGGAUUAGCUAGUUGGCGGGGUAAAGGCCCACCAAGGCGACGAUCCGUAGCUGGUCUGAGAGGAUGACCAGCCACACUGGAACUGAGACACGGUCCAGACUCCUACGGGAGGCAGCAGUGGGGAAUAUUGGACAAUGGGCGCAAGCCUGAUCCAGCCAUACCGCGUGGGUGAAGAAGGCCUUCGGGUUGUAAAGCCCUUUUGUUGGGAAAGAAAAGCAGCAGGUUAAUACCCCGCUGUUCUGACGGUACCCAAAGAAUAAGCACCGGCUAACUUCGUG